This 73-nucleotide transfer RNA is filed under the name Stegodyphus mimosarum. It matches the Rfam family "tRNA". Rfam says of the family: Transfer RNA (tRNA) molecules are approximately 80 nucleotides in length. The record is from Rfam by way of RNAcentral. Lineage: Eukaryota; Metazoa; Arthropoda; Arachnida; Araneae; Eresidae.
GCCUUCGUGGUGUAGUGGUCAGCACGCUCGACGCGUAACCGAGAGGUACAUGGUUCGAUUCCCGGUGAAGGCG